Non-coding RNA from Coturnix japonica (Japanese quail), 361 nucleotides. The record is from RefSeq and is a predicted model, not a curated record. NCBI's taxonomy places the organism in Eukaryota, Metazoa, Chordata, Aves, Galliformes, Phasianidae.
GAAGCACUUUCGUAGAAGCACUUGGCCACAGAACAAGUGAAAAGAGGGUUACACAGACCACUGGAGGUUACUUUAUACCAUGGCAUUUGUGGAAUAUUCAAGUACACUGGAAGAACAUCCUUGAAUGCUUUACCAAUGGGAGAAGAGUUAAAGAGACUUUGAGGAGCAGUUAAAACAAACAAAACAAAGCAAACAACAAUAAACAAUAAAACAUGUCCAGAUUUUGAUAAUAUCACAUUUUUUCACGACUCAGAUCUACACUUGGAGUUCCAUAUGCUGGAAAUAUGGGUUGCAUUGCCACCAGCAACAUGAUUUGGGAAAUGGAGGAUGAGAAACAACAAAUAAAGCAGCAGAAAACUUA